RNAcentral lists this ribosomal RNA (465 nucleotides) under uncultured bacterium. Its description in RNAcentral is "partial 16S ribosomal RNA". It matches the Rfam family "Bacterial small subunit ribosomal RNA", at positions 28 to 507 of the family's 1533-position model. The record is from RNAcentral.
GACGAACGCUGGCGGCGUGCUUAACACAUGCAAGUCGAACGGAGAGGCCCUGCUUGCAGGGUACUCGAGUGGCGAACGGGUGAGUAACACGUGGGUGAUCUGCCCUGCACUUCGGGAUAAGCCUGGGAAACUGGGUCUAAUACCGGAUAGAGCCAAUUUUUGUGGGGUGGGUGGGAAGGUUUUUCCGGUGUAGGAUGAGCUCGCGGCCUAUCAGCUUGUUGGUGGGGUAAUGGCCUACCAAGGCGGCGACGGGUAGCCGGCCUGAGAGGGUGGACGGCCACAUUGGGACUGAGAUACGGCCCAGACUCCUACGGGAGGCAGCAGUGGGGAAUAUUGCACAAUGGGCGCAAGCCUGAUGCAGCGACGCCGCGUGGGGGAUGACGGCCUUCGGGUUGUAAACUCCUUUCGCUAGGGACGAAGCUUUUUGUGACGGUACCUAGAGAAGAAGCACCGGCUAACUACGUG